GCGCUGCGGGCGCCCGGCUGGCGCCGCCAUCUGGGCGACGUCGACCCGCGUGCGAUCGAUUCGCGCGCAGCGCU
Molecule: transfer RNA, 74 nt
Filed under: Betaproteobacteria bacterium
Lineage: Bacteria; Pseudomonadati; Pseudomonadota; Betaproteobacteria
Description: tRNA-Pro
Source: RNAcentral